This 267-nucleotide unclassified non-coding RNA is filed under the name air metagenome. RNAcentral's name for it is "partial contains small subunit ribosomal RNA, internal transcribed spacer 1, and 5.8S ribosomal RNA". The stretch from base 1 to 46 matches the Rfam family "Eukaryotic small subunit ribosomal RNA", at positions 1786 to 1831 of the family's 1831-position model. The record is from RNAcentral.
AAGUCGUAACAAGGUUUCCGUAGGUGAACCUGCGGAAGGAUCAUUAUCGAAUACUGGGUAGGCUCUCAGCGCCUCGCUCACUCGCUGAGCGGGCUAAGGGGGUCGACCCGCGUCCCUUCAAACCCCUGUGAACCUUUAAACGCAUGCUGGGCGACGCCUUCGGGUCGAGCUCGAUGCUAUUACAAACUCUAGUCUAUACUAUGUCAUAGCGGGCUAACGCCUGUCUAAACAAUGAAACAACUUUCAACAACGGAUCUCUUGGCUCUC